ACCACCUGGGGAUCUUGUUAAAAUGCAGAUUCUGAUUUGGUAGGUCUGGAGAGUGGCCUGAGAUUUUGCAUUUCUAACAAGCUCCUAAGUGAUGCUGA
This is a microRNA precursor of Loxodonta africana (African savanna elephant), 98 nucleotides long. It matches the Rfam family "mir-544 microRNA precursor family". Lineage: Eukaryota; Metazoa; Chordata; Mammalia; Proboscidea; Elephantidae. The record is from Rfam.